UACGAAGGGGGCUAGCGUUGCUCGGAAUGACUGGGCGUAAAGGGCGCGUAGGCGGACUGCUUUGUCGGGCGUGAAAUUCCAGGGCUCAACCUUGGGGCUGCGUUCGAGACGGGUAUUCUAGAGUGGGGAAGAGGGUCGUGGAAUUCCCAGUGUAGAGGUGAAAUUCGUAGAUAUUGGGAAGAACACCGGUGGCGAAGGCGGCGACCUGGUCCGAUACUGACGCUGAGGCGCGAAAGCGUGGGGAGCAAACAGG
This 253-nucleotide ribosomal RNA is filed under the name uncultured bacterium. RNAcentral describes it as "partial 16S ribosomal RNA". It matches the Rfam family "Bacterial small subunit ribosomal RNA", at positions 524 to 776 of the family's 1533-position model. The record is from RNAcentral.